AUUGAACGCCGGCGGCAUGCCUUACACAUGCAAGUCGAACGGUAACAGGUCUUCGGAUGCUGACGAGUGGCGAACGGGUGAGUAAUACAUCGGGACGUGCCUAGUAGUGGGGGAUAACUACUCGAAAGAGUGGCUAAUACCGCAUGAGAUCUACGGAUGAAAGCAGGGGAUCGCAAGACCUUGUGCUACUAGAGCGGCCGAUGGCAGAUUAGGUAGUUGGUGGGAUAAAAGCUUACCAAACCGACGAUCUGUAGCUGGUCUGAGAGGACGAUCAGCCACACUGGGACUGAGACACGGCCCAGACUCCUACGGGAGGCAGCAGUGGGGAAUUUUGGACAAUGGGCGCAAGCCUGAUCCAGCAAUGCCGCGUGCAGGAUGAAGGCCUUCGGGUUGUAAACUGCUUUUGUACGGAACGAAAAGCCCCGGGUUAAUACCCUGGGGUCAUGACGGUACCGUAAGAAUAAGCACCGGCUAACUACGUGCCAGCCGCCGCGGUAA
This 498-nucleotide ribosomal RNA is filed under the name uncultured bacterium. Its description in RNAcentral is "partial 16S ribosomal RNA". It matches the Rfam family "Bacterial small subunit ribosomal RNA", at positions 30 to 523 of the family's 1533-position model. The record is from RNAcentral.